GAUGAACGCUGGCGGCGUGCCUAAUACAUGCAAGUCGAGCGAACGGACGAGAAGCUUGCUUCUCUGAUGUUAGCGGCGGACGGGUGAGUAACACGUGGAUAACCUACCUAUAAGACUGGGAUAACUUCGGGAAACCGGAGCUAAUACCGGAUAAUAUUUUGAACCGCAUGGUUCAAAAGUGAAAGACGGUCUUGCUGUCACUUAUAGAUGGAUCCGCGCUGCAUUAGCUAGUUGGUAAGGUAACGGCUUACCAAGGCAACGAUGCAUAGCCGACCUGAGAGGGUGAUCGGCCACACUGGAACUGAGACACGGUCCAGACUCCUACGGGAGGCAGCAGUAGGGAAUCUUCCGCAAUGGGCGAAAGCCUGACGGAGCAACGCCGCGUGAGUGAUGAAGGUCUUCGGAUCGUAAAACUCUGUUAUUAGGGAAGAACAUAUGUGUAAGUAACUGUGCACAUCUUGACGGUACCUAAUCAGAAAGCCACGGCUAACUACGUGCCAGCAGCCGCGGUAAUACGUAGGUGGCAAGCGUUAUCCGGAAUUAUUGGGCGUAAAGCGCGCGUAGGCGGUUUUUUAAGUCUGAUGUGAAAGCCCACGGCUCAACCGUGGAGGGUCAUUGGAAACUGGAAAACUUGAGUGCAGAAGAGGAAAGUGGAAUUCCAUGUGUAGCGGUGAAAUGCGCAGAGAUAUGGAGGAACACCAGUGGCGAAGGCGACUUUCUGGUCUGUAACUGACGCUGAUGUGCGAAAGCGUGGGGAUCAAACAGGAUUAGAUACCCUGGUAGUCCACGCCGUAAACGAUGAGUGCUAAGUGUUAGGGGGUUUCCGCCCCUUAGUGCUGCAGCUAACGCAUUAAGCACUCCGCCUGGGGAGUACGACCGCAAGGUUGAAACUCAAAGGAAUUGACGGGGACCCGCACAAGCGGUGGAGCAUGUGGUUUAAUUCGAAGCAACGCGAAGAACCUUACCAAAUCUUGACAUCCUUUGACAACUCUAGAGAUGGAGCUUUCCCCUUCGGGGGACAAAGUGACAGGUGGUGCAUGGUUGUCGUCAGCUCGUGUCGUGAGAUGUUGGGUUAAGUCCCGCAACGAGCGCAACCCUUAAGCUUAGUUGCCAUCAUUAAGUUGGGCACUCUAAGUUGACUGCCGGUGACAAACCGGAGGAAGGUGGGGAUGACGUCAAAUCAUCAUGCCCCUUAUGAUUUGGGCUACACACGUGCUACAAUGGACAAUACAAAGGGCAGCGAAACCGCGAGGUCAAGCAAAUCCCAUAAAGUUGUUCUCAGUUCGGAUUGUAGUCUGCAACUCGACUACAUAAAGCUGGAAUCGCUAGUAAUCGUAGAUCAGCAUGCUACGGUGAAUACGUUCCCGGGUCU
This 1372-nucleotide ribosomal RNA is filed under the name uncultured bacterium. RNAcentral describes it as "bacterial SSU rRNA". It matches the Rfam family "Bacterial small subunit ribosomal RNA", at positions 28 to 1381 of the family's 1533-position model. The record is from RNAcentral.